CGGCGAAGGGUGAGUAACACGUAACCAACGUACCCCUCAGAUCGGGAUAACCACUGGAAACGGUGGAUAAUACUGAAUGGUCCUAGGAAGGACAUCCUUCCGAAGGUAAACGGCGGCUUCGGCUGCUGUUGAGGGAGCGGGUUGCGUCCUAUCAGCUUGUUGGUGAGGUAACGGCUCACCAAGGCUAUGACGGGUAGCGGGUCUGAGAGGAUGAUCCGCCACACUGGGACUGAGACACUGCCCAGACUCCUACGGGAGGCCGCAGUCGAGAAUCUUCCACAAUGGCGAAAGCCUGAUGGAGCGACGCUGCGUGUAGGAUGAAGGCCUUAGGGUUGUAAACUACUGUCACGCUAUAGGAACCCGUGUAGGUUAAUAGCCUGCGCGCUGACCAAAGCGAGAGGAAGUGCCGGCUAACUCCGUGCCAGCAGCCGCGGUAAGACGGAGGGCGCAAGCGUUGUUCGGAAUCACUGGGCAUAAAGGGCGCGUAGGCGGCCAGUUCAGUCGGACGUGAAAUCCCCCGGCCCAACCGGGGAACUGCAUUCGAUACUGACUGGCUAGAGGAUGGUAGGAGCCAAUGGAACUCCAGGUGGAACGGUGAAAUGUGUAGAUAUCUGGAGGAACACCGGUGGCGAAAGCGAUUGGCUGGGCCAUUUCUGACGCUGAGGCGCGAAAGCUAGGGGAGCGAACGGGAUUAGAUACCCCGGUAGUCCUAGCCGUAAA
Molecule: ribosomal RNA, 720 nt
Filed under: uncultured Planctomycetota bacterium
Lineage: Bacteria; Pseudomonadati; Planctomycetota
Description: bacterial SSU rRNA
Rfam family: Bacterial small subunit ribosomal RNA
Source: RNAcentral